GUGAGGGCUGUUUGAACUAUUUGUUCUCGUCUUCUUUCUUUGAUUAGUGCAUAGGAGGAGGUUAUACUUGGUUGGUCAGUGUUAAUCAUGUUUAAUAGUGAUAUAUGAUUUCAAAUCUAGCUAUGCAAGUGUGCAUACUGUGAUAUUGUGUUUUAAUUGAUAUUGGUCCAGUACUUAUUUGUUUAUUGAGUUGGAUUGAGUUGGUUACUUGUUGAAUAAUAUAAGAAAACAGGUGGAUAGUCCGAUAAAUAGAGGAAGUGCUGUCGAAUUUUCGUUAGAAACUAUAUAUGUUUUACUUGUUGAAGGAUAUUAAAUAGAUAAGAAUAAGGUGACAUGGUUAACUGAAACAUGUUAAAUGUUAACUUAUCAAUAUUGACUUUUUAAUGGCUAUAAAAGUUAAUUGUUCAACUAUGUGCUAUGUGUUUGUCUGACUAUGUGGCAUGUAUAUGCGAAGGGUAGAUAUAGAAUAGGUCUUAAUGCUUUUCGAGCUUAGUUAAUCCGUCUGAUCCGACGACUGAAAUAAUAUUUUGCCAUCGUAUAGAAUGGAACGAGACGUUGAUCGAGGCAUUGAUCGAGAAGUGAUUAAAAUGGUUAUUCAGAAAUAGCUAAGUUGUGUUGCAAGUUGAAGUUAGGCAGAGAUUGCUAUAGAUAGAGUCUUGUCAGAAGCUGGCAGAAAGGAAUGAUAUGGCACUACAUAGUGUUAUUAGAAAUCUGAGCUAGACACCGGAGUUAAGAUAAUGUUAAAGAUGGUUCGCCUAUUUAGGCUAAGCAUAAGAGUAAGGCUAGGCGAGGAUUGCAAGUGACUAAGUUUCAACCUGAUGGUCAGGAAGAGUAUCCAAGAUCGAGUCCUUGGGACUAGUGAAUGGAACGAGACGUUGAUCGAGGCAUUGAUCGAGAAGUGAUUAAAAUGGUUAUUCAGAAAUAGCUAAGUUGUGUUGCAAGUUGAAGUUAGGCAGAGAUU
This is a long non-coding RNA of Daucus carota subsp. sativus, 961 nucleotides long. RefSeq lists it as uncharacterized. The record is from RefSeq and is a predicted model, not a curated record. Lineage: Eukaryota; Viridiplantae; Streptophyta; Magnoliopsida; Apiales; Apiaceae. The transcript has 3 exons.